This 601-nucleotide ribosomal RNA is filed under the name uncultured bacterium. RNAcentral describes it as "bacterial SSU rRNA". It matches the Rfam family "Bacterial small subunit ribosomal RNA", at positions 733 to 1338 of the family's 1533-position model. The record is from RNAcentral.
AGCGCAACUGACGCUCAUGCUCGAAAGUGCGGGUAUCGAACAGGAUUAGAUACCCUGGUAGUCCGCACGGUAAACGAUGGAUGCCCGCUAUUUGUCCAUUAGGAUAAGUGGCCAAGUGAAAACGUUAAGCAUCCCACCUGGGGAGUACGCCGGCAACGGUGAAACUCAAAGGAAUUGACGGGGGCCCGCACAAGCGGAGGAACAUGUGGUUUAAUUCGAUGAUACGCGAGGAACCUUACCCGGGCUUGAAUUGUGAGAGAAGGAUCCAGAGAUGGUGACGCCCUUCGGGGCUCUCAUGAAGGUGCUGCAUGGUUGUCGUCAGCUCGUGCCGUGAGGUGUCGGCUUAAGUGCCAUAACGAGCGCAACCCCUCUCUUCAGUUGCCAUCAGGUUAAGCUGGGCACUCUGGAGACACUGCCACCGUAAGGUGUGAGGAAGGUGGGGAUGACGUCAAAUCAGCACGGCCCUUACGUCCGGGGCUACACACGUGUUACAAUGGGUGGUACAGAGAGUUGGGUGCCCGCAAGGUCACUCUAAUCAAUAAAUCCAUCCUCAGUUCGGACUGGGGUCUGCAACCCGACCCCACGAAGCUGGAUUCGCUAG